UACGAAGGGGGCUAGCGUUGCUCGGAAUCACUGGGCGUAAAGCGCACGUAGGCGGACGAUUAAGUCAGAGGUGAAAGCCUGGAGCUCAACUCCAGAACUGCCUUUGAUACUGGUUGUCUUGAGUUCGGAAGAGGUUGGUGGAACUGCGAGUGUAGAGGUGAAAUUCGUAGAUAUUCGCAAGAACACCGGUGGCGAAGGCGGCCAACUGGUCCAGUACUGACACUCAAGUGCGAAAGCGUGGGGAGAAAACAGG
RNAcentral lists this ribosomal RNA (253 nucleotides) under uncultured bacterium. Its description in RNAcentral is "partial 16S ribosomal RNA". It matches the Rfam family "Bacterial small subunit ribosomal RNA", at positions 524 to 776 of the family's 1533-position model. The record is from RNAcentral.